ACCGUGAGGGAAAGGCGAAAAGAACCCCGGCGAGGGGAGUGAAAAAGAACCUGAAACCGUGUACGUACAAGCAGUGGGAGCCCCACCACUAAGCCAGUGGUGAACUCCACAUACGCAUCCUUUGCUGAGGAUACGGUUAACGGAGCGAAAGCGACGUUCAACCUCAAAAGAAGCAGAGGGGGCUUAGUGGUGGGGUGACUGCGUACCUUUUGUAUAAUGGGUCAGCGACUUAUAUUCUGUAGCAAGGUUAACCGUAUAGGGGAGCCGUAGGGAAACCGAGUCUUAAC
This 287-nucleotide ribosomal RNA is filed under the name Salmonella enterica subsp. enterica serovar Paratyphi B var. L(+) tartrate +. RNAcentral describes it as "partial 23S ribosomal RNA". It matches the Rfam family "Bacterial large subunit ribosomal RNA", at positions 500 to 688 of the family's 2925-position model. Lineage: Bacteria; Pseudomonadati; Pseudomonadota; Gammaproteobacteria; Enterobacterales; Enterobacteriaceae. The record is from RNAcentral.